This 350-nucleotide unclassified non-coding RNA is filed under the name soil metagenome. RNAcentral describes it as "partial contains 5.8S ribosomal RNA, internal transcribed spacer 2, and large subunit ribosomal RNA". The stretch from base 1 to 120 matches the Rfam family "5.8S ribosomal RNA", at positions 35 to 154 of the family's 154-position model. The record is from RNAcentral.
GAUGAAGAACGUAGCGAACUGCGAUAAGUAAUGUGAAUUGCAGAAUUCAGUGAAUCAUCGAGUCUUUGAACGCACAUUGCGCCCCCUGGCAUUCCGGGGGGCAUGCCUGUCCGAGCGUCAUUGCUGCCCUUCAAGCCCGGCUUGUGUGUUGGGUCGUCGUCCCCCCCGGGGGACGGGCCCGAAAGGCAGCGGCGGCACCGCGUCCGGUCCUCGAGCGUAUGGGGCUUUGUCACCCGCUCGAUUAGGGCCGGCCGGGCGCCAGCCGGCGUCUCCGACCUUCUAUUUUACCAGGUUGACCUCGGAUCAGGUAGGGAUACCCGCUGAACUUAAGCAUAUCAAUAAGCGGAGGA